This 741-nucleotide ribosomal RNA is filed under the name uncultured bacterium. Its description in RNAcentral is "bacterial SSU rRNA". It matches the Rfam family "Bacterial small subunit ribosomal RNA", at positions 8 to 796 of the family's 1533-position model. The record is from RNAcentral.
AGAGUUUGAUCCUGGCUCAGAACGAACGCUGGCGGCAGGCUUAACACAUGCAAGUCGAACGCAUCCUUCGGGGUGAGUGGCAGACGGGUGAGUAACGCGUGGGAACGUGCCCUUCAGUUCGGAAUAACCCAGGGAAACUUGGGCUAAUACCGGAUACGUGCGAGAGCAGAAAGAUUUAUCGCUGAAGGAUCGGCCCGCGUCUGAUUAGCUAGUUGGUGAGGUAAUGGCUCACCAAGGCGACGAUCAGUAGCUGGUCUGAGAGGAUGAUCAGCCACAUUGGGACUGAGACACGGCCCAAACUCCUACGGGAGGCAGCAGUGGGGAAUAUUGGACAAUGGGCGCAAGCCUGAUCCAGCCAUGCCGCGUGAGUGAUGAAGGCCUUAGGGUUGUAAAGCUCUUUCGUCCGGGACGAUAAUGACGGUACCGGAAGAAGAAGCCCCGGCUAACUUCGUGCCAGCAGCCGCGGUAAUACGAAGGGGGCUAGCGUUGUUCGGAAUCACUGGGCGUAAAGGGCGCGUAGGCGGCUUGAUAAGUCGGGGGUGAAAGCCUGUGGCUCAACCACAGAAUUGCCUUCGAUACUGUCUGGCUUGAGACCGGAAGAGGUAAGUGGAACUGCGAGUGUAGAGGUGAAAUUCGUAGAUAUUCGCAAGAACACCAGUGGCGAAGGCGGCUUACCGGUCCGGUUCUGAGCUGAGGCGCGAAAGCGUGGGGAGCAAACAGGAUUAGAUACCCUAGUAGUCC